Cygnus atratus (black swan) is the source of this 1637-nucleotide long non-coding RNA. RefSeq lists it as uncharacterized. The record is from RefSeq and is a predicted model, not a curated record. NCBI's taxonomy places the organism in Eukaryota, Metazoa, Chordata, Aves, Anseriformes, Anatidae. The transcript is spliced from 3 exons.
GGGGCUGGCUGCUCGGGGAUAGGCUGGGCAUCGGUCAACGGGUGGCUUCACUUUCCCGUUUCUCUCCCCCAUCCCGGAGAGGGAGGGGGGAGGGUGAGCGAACGGCUGUGUGGUGUUUGGCUGCCAGCCGGGCUAAACCACAACAGAAGUGAAGGAGAGGAGGGAGGAAACAGAAAAAUGGUCAGUUGAGCACGCUGCAGAAUCUGGCUUUAACAUUGCAGCAAAGCCAAGGAGAGACUCACCUCUACAAAAUCAGAAGGUCCAGCUGAUUUCACCAGGCUCCAUAUGGGCCACAUACUUUCAGUCCUGGAAGGAUUCUCUCCCAGACAUGCAGAAAAAGGUGGAAAUCUGAAGUGAGAGCUGCUCAGCUAUGGGCAAGCUCUGGAACGAGUGUAAACCUUCAUAUCACCACAACCUUACUCCUGGGCUGGCAGGGGAGAAAUAGUUUCAGUUCUUGCUUGUUAUUCCUAUUUGUUUCAGAAAUUUUGCACUAACAUGUUUACCUAUCUGCUCAUUUCAAAGUUCCCCACUAUAUGAGAAAAUGAUCAAAUAAUAGUCCUAGAAGAUACAUGGUACCCCUUUACUUUAGUCUAACUGCAUUUUAAAAUUAGAUAUUUUGGUGUAGCUUGGCCUUUGUUUCCAACGUGUCUAUCUAAUGCAUUAAUAACUGCCUAUGGUGAAGCAGCAGCCUCACUAAUGAUGGAACACAUGUAAUAUCAAUUUAACACCAAUAUAAAUUUUUAUAUAUUUCAACAAUUUUUAGGGCUGCUUGUCUCUAUUUAAUCUAUUGGAGCUUACUGUUACAGCAAAUCAUCUGAAUUUGUCUUGUACUGGGGGUGAUAGGUAUCAACCAGAUGCUCAUUCCCUCACCAGACAGUUACUGAAGAAUCUGCACAAAAGUUACAACUUCUCAAAGAGCCAACUUUGCUAUUAAAACUAUGGCAAAGCUUCACUGACCGGACUCACUAUGGGGUGUGAGACCCUGCAAAAGCCACUGUGAUGAUAAAACAUAAAUAUAUAUGUAUACGUAUAUAUAAAGCUUUCAAAAAUUCCAACUAAUAUUGCUUAAUGUGGCUAUCCCAAUUCUCUCACACAAAUGCUAUCAUUCCAUUUCUCAUUAUUUAUAUUCAGUGUGGUUCUUAAGAGAGCAGUGAGCAACAUGCCAUUUUGGAACUGCUGUUACCAAGGGCAUACACAGUUUAAUUAUUAAAACAAAGCUGUUACGUAGCAUGCUCUAAGUGCCACUGCGGCCACUUAGAAACUGAUGUGAUUUGCAUUUCUUUUAAUAAAUUAGGUAUUUAAUUACAUUAUAAAUGUAACCUCUAAUUGAAGUACCUUCUCCCCAUGGGCAUAACUCUGUAAUAAUUUGCACAAGCUACCUAGAAGUGGGUGCAUGCUGCUGCAGAAAUGGAAACCUCACUAAUAAGCACUUAAACAUCAUUCUUGAGGAUUUUUGCAACUUAAUGGACUUUCCCCCAGGAUAUCUCUUUGGAGGAUAUGUUCUGCUGUCUUGUGUUGCCUUUUACUUGUCCUCUACUUGUGGCUAUUUGUUUGUUUGCACUUUUCUCCUUGAUAGCUUUUAUUUUUCAUGCCUGGAUGCCCACUGCUAUCGCCAUAGUAUGUAGAGGUGGAUGCAA